GCUGAUUCUAUAACAUCAGUACAUCACCAUUUCUUGCAGCUGUUAACAAUAUGACUCACUCAAACAUGUAUGUUACAUACUACUACACCACAUUCCUCCAAAUUAAAUAUUCUAGCAUCUUGGUAAGCAAGGAGAUGCUCAAACCACACUACUAAAAAGAAAAACCAAAAAACGAAUGAGGCAUGAAGCAUGAAGCACGCACCACUUGAGGUGAAAUUAGCAGCAAAAGUAGUAGUAGUAUUAUUCAAUACCUCAAAAACCAUAUGAAGGAUUUCAGUUCUGGGGCUUCUCCCACUUGAGGGGCUUAACGACCUCCCACGUGAAGUCGGGGUCGUCUCUUCCGAAGUGGCCGUACGCUGCUGUCUUCAAGAACCGCCCGUUGUUGCCCCUCUUCAAGUCCAAGUUGAUGGAGAUCAUUCCGGGCCUGAAAUCGAACUUCUCCUUCAC
This 447-nucleotide long non-coding RNA is filed under the name Salvia miltiorrhiza (redroot sage). RNAcentral's name for it is "long non-coding RNA (SMIL_LNC005289)". Lineage: Eukaryota; Viridiplantae; Streptophyta; Magnoliopsida; Lamiales; Lamiaceae. The record is from RNAcentral.